GUUUUUGGUGGUGCAUGGCCGUUGGUGGUGCGUGGGUUGACCUGUCUAGCGUUGAUUCAGCUAACGAGCGAGAUUAUCGCCAAUUAUUUACUUUGCCGAAGUCCUUCGGUUAAAGUUCUAAUUGGGACUCCCUGCGAUUUUAGCAGGUGGAAGAGGGUAGCAAUAACAGGUCCGUGAUGCCCUUUAGAUGCUCUGGGCUGCACGCGUGCUACAAUGUUAGGAUCAAUAGGACUGCGAGCCUGAGAGGGUGCGCUACUCUUAUAAUCCCUAACGUAGUUGGGAUUGACGUUUGUAAUCAGCGUCAUGAACCAGGAAUCCCUUGUAAAUGUGUGUCAACAACGCACGUUGAAUACGUCCCUGCCCUUUGUACACACCGCCCGUCGCUCCUACCGAUUGGAUGACUCGGUGAAAUCACCGGAUGCUUACGAGCAGAAAGUGAUUAAAUCACGUUAUCUAGAGGAAGGAGAAGUCGUAACAAGGUAACGGUAGGUGAACCUGCCGUUGGAUCAGUU
Trichomonas vaginalis G3 is the source of this 512-nucleotide non-coding RNA. The record is from Rfam. Lineage: Eukaryota; Parabasalia; Trichomonadida; Trichomonadidae.